CUACGGGAGGCAGCAGUGAGGAAUAUUGGGCAAUGGGGGAAACCCUGACCCAGCAAUGCCGCGUGCGGGAAGACGCCUUUCGGGGUGUAAACCGCUUUUCUGCAUGAAGAGGAAGGACGGUAGUGCAGGAAUAAGUCACGGCUAACUACGUGCCAGCAGCCGCGGUAAUACGUAGGUGGCGAACGUUAUCCGGAGUUACUGGGCGUAAAGCGCGCGCAGGUGGACUGUUAAGUUAGCCAUGAAAGCUCCCGGCUAAACUGGGAGAGGCUGGUUGAUACUGGCAGUCUUGAGUGAGUGAGAGGGAAGUGGAAUUCCGCGUGUAGUGGUGAAAUGCGUAGAGAUGCGGAGGAACACCAGAGGCGAAGGCGGCUUCCUGGCACUUGACUGACACUGAGGCGCGAAAGCAUGGGUAGCGAACGGGAUUAGAUACCCCUGUAGUCC
Molecule: ribosomal RNA, 441 nt
Filed under: uncultured bacterium
Lineage: Bacteria
Description: bacterial SSU rRNA
Rfam family: Bacterial small subunit ribosomal RNA
Source: RNAcentral